UAGUGGCGCACGGGUGCGUAACGCGUGGGAAGUCUGCCCUCGGUUGGGAAUAACACAGAGAAAUUUGUGCUAAUACCUUAUAAUGUCUUCGGACCAAAGAUUUAUCGCCGAGGGAUGAGCCCGCGUAGGAUUAGGUAGUUGGUGGGGUAAUGGCCUACCAAGCCGACGAUCCUUAGCUGGUCUGAGAGGAUGAUCAGCCACACUGGGACUGAGACACGGCCCAGACUCCUACGGGAGGCAGCAGUGGGGAAUAUUGGACAAUGGGCGAAAGCCUGAUUCCCAGCAAUGCCGCGUGAGUGAUGAAGGCCUUAGGGUUGUAAAGCUCUUUUACCCGGGAUGAUAAUGACAGUACCGGGAGAAUAAGCUCCGGCUAACUCCGUGCCAGCCGCCGC
RNAcentral lists this ribosomal RNA (392 nucleotides) under uncultured bacterium. Its description in RNAcentral is "bacterial SSU rRNA". It matches the Rfam family "Bacterial small subunit ribosomal RNA", at positions 93 to 518 of the family's 1533-position model. The record is from RNAcentral.